RNAcentral lists this ribosomal RNA (449 nucleotides) under uncultured bacterium. RNAcentral describes it as "partial 16S ribosomal RNA". It matches the Rfam family "Bacterial small subunit ribosomal RNA", at positions 29 to 523 of the family's 1533-position model. The record is from RNAcentral.
AACGAACGCUGGCGGCAUGCCUAACACAUGCAAGUCGAACGAGAUCUUCGGGUCUAGUGGCGCACGGGUGCGUAACGCGUGGGAAUCUGCCCUUUGGUUCGGAAUAACAGUUGGAAACGACUGCUAAUACCGGAUGAUGACGAAAGUCCAAAGAUUUAUCGCCAGAGGAUGAGCCCGCGUAGGAUUAGCUAGUUGGUGUGGUAAAGGCGCACCAAGGCGACGAUCCUUAGCUGGUCUGAGAGGAUGAUCAGCCACACUGGGACUGAGACACGGCCCAGACUCCUACGGGAGGCAGCAGUGGGGAAUAUUGGACAAUGGGCGCAAGCCUGAUCCAGCCAUGCCGCGUGAGUGAUGAAGGCCUUAGGGUUGUAAAGCUCUUUCGCGCGCGACGAUAAUGACGGUAGCGCGAGAAGAAGCCCCGGCUAACUUCGUGCCAGCCGCCGCGGUAA